GUGAAUAUAAUUUAACUUAAAAUUCUAGUCUGUGACUCUAGGAAUGGAAACUAGCUACUUCCUAUUCACC
RNAcentral lists this transfer RNA (70 nucleotides) under Anomaloglossus megacephalus. Its description in RNAcentral is "tRNA-His". The record is from RNAcentral. Lineage: Eukaryota; Metazoa; Chordata; Amphibia; Anura; Aromobatidae.